UGCCGCUAUGGCACUAUGGCACUAUGGCCCUAUGGCGCUAAGGUGUAAACUUCAAUGUUUGUUUAAUUAAUUCAAGGCUGCUGCCUGACGGGCGCCCGGUCGCCUGACGCACCUAAGUUACGAGUGCGGGCGACUUAAGUUUUGUUCAAGGAGCCCAAGUGGGCGCCAAAACAUGGGGUUUUCAUUCCAAUGUAAUGUGUCCGAUGACUUCAACCUUCUCAUGAAAUCGUUCAAAAAAUAAUUCACACAAUAAAUUAAACAGAAAACAACAGCUACACUGGUCCUGUUUUGCUUUUAUCACGAGAAAUCUGGGCCAAAACACGGCAACAAGGUCUCUCCGUUCACAAAACAGCCGAAAACAGCCAUAUUUGAAAAUCGCCUUAUAGUGCAUUGCAAGCUCAGUAUUGAAUAAAGGUACAUUAUGUUUGCCAAUGGAUUGUGUCUCUGUUGAUGCCUUACUGAUUCCAAGUUGCAAAAUAACUACUUUGAUAGCAAGUAUUAAUUUUUUGGAAUUGGAGUGAUGAUCCUACUGACAUUAUAUUUACAGUUGAAAAAAGAUAAAUGUGUCUAAAUAUUUGUCCGAUACUUAAGAAAACUUCACUUAGAUGUACUGAAUGAAUUUCUUUAGGUUCUGAAAGGAUAAUUCGAGUAACUAGCCAGCA
Long non-coding RNA from Orbicella faveolata, 662 nucleotides. The record is from RefSeq and is a predicted model, not a curated record. NCBI's taxonomy places the organism in Eukaryota, Metazoa, Cnidaria, Anthozoa, Scleractinia, Merulinidae.